GCAACCGGGGUAGUAUACAGUUAUUGUCUCGAAACCCAAAGAGUUUGGCGGUAUCUCAGUCUAGUUAGAGGAGCUUGUUCGGUAAUCGAUAAUCCGCGAAAAAUCUUACGUAUUUUUGUAGUCAGUUUAUAUACCGUCGUUAUUAGAUAAUAUUACAAAAUAAACAAUUAUCAAAAUAUAUUAAAAUAUAAUAUAUCAGAUCAAGGUGUAGCUUAUGAAUACGUCUGAAUGAGCUACAAUUUAAUCAAAUAAAAACGGAUUUUAUUUUCAAAUAAAUAAUUGAAGGUGGAUUUAAUAGUAAUUGUAGUUUUAGUAAGU
This 318-nucleotide ribosomal RNA is filed under the name Alima orientalis. RNAcentral describes it as "partial 12S ribosomal RNA". Lineage: Eukaryota; Metazoa; Arthropoda; Malacostraca; Stomatopoda; Squillidae. The record is from RNAcentral.